UUUGAGACGAAAGUUUGUCAUUUGUAGAGAGAGCAAUUCAUACAGCAAAAGUAAGACACAUUUAAUCAAAGUAUUGCAUAAAGAGGUGAAGGGUUGCUUCAGGAAUUAACAAAGAAUGGAAGAAAAUUAUUUUUCAACGAUGACUGGCUUGUGAUACAUUUUCACAAAGAGCGAUUCACAUCUCAAAGAAAGACCAAGUUACAUCAAUGAGGGAUGACCCUCGUCAAGUUCUUAUUCUGAAAAGAAUUAAUAACAAUGUCUAUAAAAUUGAUCUUCUCGGAGAAAUUUCAGUAUGUUCUAUUUACAAUGUUAAUGACUUGACUCCUUUUGAUGUAGGUGAUAAUUUUCGUGAUACGAGGACGAAUCCUUUUGA
Cucurbita maxima (winter squash) is the source of this 373-nucleotide long non-coding RNA. RefSeq lists it as uncharacterized. The transcript has 2 exons. Lineage: Eukaryota; Viridiplantae; Streptophyta; Magnoliopsida; Cucurbitales; Cucurbitaceae. The record is from RefSeq and is a predicted model, not a curated record.